Molecule: ribosomal RNA, 1372 nt
Filed under: uncultured bacterium
Lineage: Bacteria
Description: bacterial SSU rRNA
Rfam family: Bacterial small subunit ribosomal RNA
Source: RNAcentral
GAUGAACGCUGGCGGCGUGCCUAAUACAUACAAGUCGAGCGAACGGACGAGAAGCUUGCUUCUCUGAUGUUAGCGGCGGACGGGUGAGUAACACGUGGAUAACCUACCUAUAAGACUGGGAUAACUUCGGGAAACCGUAGCUAAUACCGGAUAAUAUUUUGAACCGCAUGGUUCAAAAGUGAAAGACGGUCUUGCUGUCACUUAUAGAUGGAUCCGCGCUGCAUUAGCUAGUUGGUAAGGUAACGGCUUACCAAGGCAACGAUGCAUAGCCGACCUGAGAGGGUGAUCGGCCACACUGGAACUGAGACACGGUCCAGACUCCUACGGGAGGCAGCAGUAGGGAAUCUUCCGCAAUGGGCGAAAGCCUGACGGAGCAACGCCGCGUGAGUGAUGAAGGUCUUCGGAUCGUAAAACUCUGUUAUUAGGGAAGAACAUAUGUGUAAGUAACUGUGCACAUCUUGACGGUACCUAAUCAGAAAGCCACGGCUAACUACGUGCCAGCAGCCGCGGUAAUACGUAGGUGGCAAGCGUUAUCCGGAAUUAUUGGGCGUAAAGCGCGCGUAGGCGGUUUUUUAAGUCUGAUGUGAAAGCCCACGGCUCAACCGUGGAGGGUCAUUGGAAACUGGAAAACUUGAGUGCAGAAGAGGAAAGUGGAAUUCCAUGUGUAGCGGUGAAAUGCGCAGAGAUAUGGAGGAACACCAGUGGCGAAGGCGACUUUCUGGUCUGUAACUGACGCUGAUGUGCGAAAGCGUGGGGAUCAAACAGGAUUAGAUACCCUGGUAGUCCACGCCGUAAACGAUGAGUGCUAAGUGUUAGGGGGUUUCCGCCCCUUAGUGCUGCAGCUAACGCAUUAAGCACUCCGCCUGGGGAGUACGACCGCAAGGUUGAAACUCAAAGGAAUUGACGGGGACCCGCACAAGCGGUGGAGCAUGUGGUUUAAUUCGAAGCAACGCGAAGAACCUUACCAAAUCUUGACAUCCUUUGACAACUCUAGAGAUAGAGCCUUCCCCUUCGGGGGACAAAGUGACAGGUGGUGCAUGGUUGUCGUCAGCUCGUGUCGUGAGAUGUUGGGUUAAGUCCCGCAACGAGCGCAACCCUUAAGCUUAGUUGCCAUCAUUAAGUUGGGCACUCUAAGUUGACUGCCGGUGACAAACCGGAGGAAGGUGGGGAUGACGUCAAAUCAUCAUGCCCCUUAUGAUUUGGGCUACACACGUGCUACAAUGGACAAUACAAAGGGCAGCGAAACCGCGAGGUCAAGCAAAUCCCAUAAAGUUGUUCUCAGUUCGGAUUGUAGUCUGCAACUCGACUACAUGAAGCUGGAAUCGCUAGUAAUCGUAGAUCAGCAUGCUACGGUGAAUACGUUCCCGGGUCU